AUUGUGUCAAACCAAGGACACCGAUUGGCAAGAGAGGCAAGCACAUGUCGAGCCAGUGACCCAGGAGCAUGCAAAUGCUGGCGAAGUUCGGAGAGGCUUGCAGAGCUCAGACUUGUCACUCUCAUAUAACCAAAAGGAUCGGAUCUCAGUAGCCAGAUGAUUAAUACUAGAAAUACUCUUGAGAUGCUUGCCGAAAUAAGGAGAUCCCUUGGAAACCAACACUGGAACUUCACAAGCAGCAGAUUCUAUCACAGACCCUCUCCCAUUAGCACUAGAUCUGCACAAUAAAACAAAACCAAUAGUAAUACCAUCUAUUGGCAAACCAAAACCAGAGAAGGGGAGGGAUGG
RNAcentral lists this unclassified non-coding RNA (348 nucleotides) under Hevea brasiliensis (rubber tree). The record is from RNAcentral. Lineage: Eukaryota; Viridiplantae; Streptophyta; Magnoliopsida; Malpighiales; Euphorbiaceae.